AUACUGGACAAUGUGCGAAAGCCUGAACCAGCCAUGCCGCGUGAGUGAAGAAGGUCUUCGGAUUGUAAAGCACAUUAAGUUGGGAAGAAUGGCAGUAAGUUAAUACAUUGUCGAUUUGACGGUACUGACAGAAUAAGCACCAGCUAACUCCGUGCCAGCAGCCGCGGUAAUACGAAGGGUGCAAGCGUAAAUCAGAAUUAAUGGGCGUAAAACGCGCGUAGGUGGUUUGUUAAGUUGGAAGUGAAAGCCCCGGGCUCAACCUGGGAACUGCUUUCAAAACUGGCAAGCUAGAGUAUGGCAGAGGGUGGUGGAAUUUCCUGUGUAGCGGUGAAAUGCGUAGAUAUAGGAAGGAACACCAGUGGCGAAGGCGACCACCUGGGCUAAUACUGACACUGAGGUGCGAAAGCGUGGGGAGCAAGCA
Molecule: ribosomal RNA, 421 nt
Filed under: uncultured bacterium
Lineage: Bacteria
Description: partial 16S ribosomal RNA
Rfam family: Bacterial small subunit ribosomal RNA
Source: RNAcentral